Molecule: ribosomal RNA, 467 nt
Filed under: uncultured bacterium
Lineage: Bacteria
Description: partial 16S ribosomal RNA
Rfam family: Bacterial small subunit ribosomal RNA
Source: RNAcentral
GACGAACGCUGGCGGCGUGCUUAACACAUGCAAGUCGAACGGAAAGGCCUCAGCUUGCUGGGGUACUCGAGUGGCGAACGGGUGAGUAACACGUGGGUGAUCUGCCUUGCACUCUGGGAUAAGCUUGGGAAACUGGGUCUAAUACCGGAUAUGAACUGCCUUUAGUGUGGGGGUUGGAAAGUUUUUUCGGUGCAAGAUGAGCUCGCGGCCUAUCAGCUUGUUGGUGGGGUAAUGGCCUACCAAGGCGUCGACGGGUAGCCGGCCUGAGAGGGUGUACGGCCACAUUGGGACUGAGAUACGGCCCAGACGCCUACGGGAGGCAGCAGUGGGGAAUAUUGCACAAUGGGCGGAAGCCUGAUGCAGCGACGCCGCGUGGAGGAUGACGGCCUUCGGGUUGUAAACGCCUUUCGACAGGGACGAAGCUUUUUGUGACGGUACCUGUAGAAGAAGCACCGGCUAACUACGUG